AACCCCUUUAAAAGAGCUUACUAACGGAGAUUCCCACUUUGACAUUCAUGUUCACUUGUUCGCCUGUUAGGAAAGACGAUAGGGGUUGUCCAUGUAUCGUCAAAACUUUAAAUGCAAUAGCAUGUGAUAAGGAGAUGUUGCUAGCUUGAUGGUAGAUGUGAGAAAUUUGCAGAAAUUUCAGAAGGAAGGAUUUCAGGAAGAAGGUUUCUUGCCCUAUUGCUUUUCCUUUUCUCUUACGGAUGCUUGGUGUGUUUCUCCAGUAUAUUUGUCAGCUCCAUAGGUAGCUUCUGGUUCUAGCAUGGAUGUGGAUAAUAAGGCUAUUCGGCGCAUGGUAAGAAUUGGUCUCACCUAUAGAGUCUUAAGUUUUGUAAUUAACAACAUUGCUGAGUAAAGUGUCUGGACUUUAGAGUUCAUUUUGAAACCUCAUUGUACCGAUGGAGUUGAUAAAUUAGAUUCUUAUAGGUCUAUUGAAUUUUCCAUUUAGAUUUGCAUUUACAGAUACAGUAUUUCCGGAUUGCCUUAACCCUCGUAAUUUGUAUACGCAAAAACAUUUGUGCAAUGUUUUUUUUUUUUUUCACGUGUUAUGCUCUAUUUGAGAACUCCACUUUCUUCUCAACUGUUAUGUUCCAUCUCUAAACUCGCACCAGCUUUGUCUUCUAGUUUCUCAAUGGCUGCUUCAAUCCCCACCAUCAAACACUACAAGCUCAAUGCUGAACCACUCAAAGAAGACCCCAGUAAGUUUUAUUAUCAUUUUCUCCACAGAGUCGUCAUCGUCACGAUUUUCUUGGUCAUGCUUCCCUUAUCCGCUAGCAUUUUGACAAAAUCAAUGGGUUUGAGAGACAGUUCAGUCUGGGAUUCGACCUAAUCAACCUUGAGUAGGCCAUAUGGAAGAAGAUUGUCAACAAGAACGUCGAUUUCUUUGCGUUUAGGAUUUGCGAUUUCCAAAUGGAUUUGCUUUGCAUGCACUGGGUUCUGAUUUGAUCUUGGGAUGGGUUUAAAGGACAGACUUGAUCACUCUUACACCCAUCCAUGAUCUUCAAACUACGCAUUGUGGCAAAGAUAUUAUGCUGCAUCUUUCGUAUUUCGUGUUCAAGGAAAGUCAAAAGUCUAAGUCUGAACAAAAUUAAAAAUCUACGAUUGACAGCUCCAGAAAAAAGUUGGACAGCAAAUUUUCCGAAGGAUUUUAAAUGAGCUGUCCAAACACCGUUGGGUUAACAAGAUGAUCGAGGACGAGAUUGUGGAACCAGACCCAUUAACAAAAACAGAAGUGGGAUUCGAUUCAUUCACAAAUUGCGGAUUUAGAACAGUGGACUAUUGAGGAAGUUGCCGAUUUUGACCCAUGGCUAUGGAGGUGACGAUAAGGUGUUGUGCCCUGAAGUAGAAACAAACCCUUCAACGAUGCGCCAAGCUUGCUUGUUAUUAAAUUUAAGCCUUCCAGCAUUUAUUGUGAUCGUUUCUUAUUUGUUUUACAUGGCAUUUUCAAUUUCAAUGCAAAAAUUAAUUAGUACUUAACUUAAUUAAUUGAGAGUUGGUUUUU
Long non-coding RNA from Prosopis cineraria, 1537 nucleotides. RefSeq lists it as uncharacterized. Lineage: Eukaryota; Viridiplantae; Streptophyta; Magnoliopsida; Fabales; Fabaceae. The record is from RefSeq and is a predicted model, not a curated record. The transcript has 3 exons.